This 168-nucleotide ribosomal RNA is filed under the name Antennarius striatus (striated frogfish). RNAcentral describes it as "partial 12S rRNA". Lineage: Eukaryota; Metazoa; Chordata; Actinopteri; Lophiiformes; Antennariidae. The record is from RNAcentral.
CACCGCGGUUAUACGAGUGAGCCCAAGUUGAUAAAAUCGGCGUAAAGGGUGGUUAAGAAAAUUACUAAGUAAAGCCGAAAGUUUUAGAAGCUGUUAAAUGCUUACAAAAAUAAGAAGUCCAAAUACGAAAGUAGCUUUAUAACUUCUGACCCCACGAAAGCUAGGGCA